CUAGCUGCCUGCUCUGAUUUCCGCCACUGUCAGAUACAUUGUCUAAAGCGAUGUGUUCUCUCAAUUGUGGCAUUCAGUUGGGCCAUUUUUGUUUUUCUCAGUGAUAGUUGUUUUUUAUCAUUAUGGACUUGGGAAUCCAGCAAGACUUUGUGGUUUCACCGCUCUUUGUCCCACCUAUGUCCUGGCUUCAUUCUAGGCACAAGACUGAGCAAUACUGCAGUCUAAUUCCCUCACUUCCCAGCAAACUUCUUUCUCGGUCAAUAUGUUUCCAUGGAGAUCAAAUUGUGUGAGGGCUAGCCUGUGUUUUCCAAAAAGAACUAAAUUUACAUGAAAAAAAAGACCAGAAUCCUGGUGUGUGCAGCACUGCAGCAGUCUGAACCCAAGUUACACAAUUAAGAGUCGUCUUAUUGGGCAUUGCACUCUUGGUCACAGGUGUCUGUACCCCAGAGCAAGGGUUGGAAAAGACCUCCAAGAUCAUCCAGUCCAGCCAUCCACUUACCACCAGUAUUUCUCCACUAAAUCAUAGAAUCAUAGAAUCAUAGAAUUGCUCAGGUUGGAAAAGACCUUCAAUAUCGUCAAGUAAACUGCAACCUAACCAUACUACCUGAACUCUAACAACCCACCACUAAAUCAUGUCCCUGAGCACUACAUCCAAACAUCUCUCAGUACAACAUCUAAACAUAUCUUGAACACCUCCAGGGUCGGUGACUCCACUACUUCCCUGGGGCAGACCCAUCCAGCACCUGACCAUUCUUUUGGAGAAAAAAUCUUUCCUAAUGUUAAACCUGAAUCUCCUCUGGCACAACUUGAGGCCAUUCCCUCUAGUCCUAUCCCUAGACAGACAGGAGAAAAGGAUGACCUCCACCUCACCACAACAUCCUUUCAGGCAGCUGUAGAGAGUGACAAGGUCUCCCCUGAGCCUUCUCUUCUCCAGACUAAACAAUACCAGUUCCCACAGAUGCUCCCCAUAAGACUUGUGCUCCAGGCCCUCUACAACUUCUCUGGACAUGCUCCAGGGCCUCGAUGUCUUGGUUAUCUGUUUAUCCACCUGUGUAAUAAGAAAAUAUUCACUAAAAGAGGCUUUUCCCCCCAUACCAUUCCUGAUUUCUCUUCCAUGUAGCUAAAACAGUCACAGAAUCUCUACUGAUUACUGAUAUAUCAAGCUCCAUAUAUACCAUCAUUUGUGAAUUUCAGCCACAAAAAACUGUGCUUGUUUUUCUAAUUGUUUUGUUUUUGAAAGCCAGAAGAUCCUAUUUUAUGUGAAAAGGCACUGAAGUAAAACAGACUAGGAAAUGUCUUGUGGACCGUAUCUGAGAAAGAAAAAGACAGAAUUUCUUCUCUGAGCUCACAACAGUAUUUGAUGAACAUAUUAUGAACUCUUCCACAAAACCUACAGAUUCCUGACACUGGUUCUCAAGUGACAUGAAUUCAGCAUGAGCAGUGAUUCCUAAGAUUUUGGAAGAAAAUAAAAUCCUUUGGGAAUUUUUCAGUAAAUCAAUUUAAUGUUAUGAAAACCUCUGAAGGAGACAUGGAACAGACUGAAAACAGAAAACAAAAAUGGAGAAAGACAAGAACAAAAAAAGAAGAUGAAGGAAAUUCAAAACAUGAACAAAGGAGUAGAUUGAGAUAUAAAACAACAGGAAGAAGGGCAAAUAUUAAGUGAACUACAGACAGAAACCAGAGGAUGUCUGGUCAUUAUGGGAUUAUAAAAAAGCAAGAAUUGCACAGAAGGAGCACAAGAAGCUGAAAAUAAGGAUGGUGCUCUGAUUCAUUUGAGAUCGCUGUCAAAAUGUCAGUUGAUAGCAGAAUUAGGCUGUAAGUUCAAAAGAAAAAAUACACAUAUGCUGAUGCACAUAGAUACACAUAUAUGUUAUACACAAAUAUAUACAUAUAUAUACACAUGUAUGUAUGUGUGUAUAUAUAUACAUAUAUAUGUGUGCACAUAUAUAUUUAUAUGUAAAGAGUAAUAGAAAAGAUUAUGUAUCUUCUUACAGUGUGGUUAUAAAACAGUGCAGUUGUAAUGAAGACACGUCUGAAUAUACUCAAAAUGUCUUAACUGAGUCCAGAUUGUGACCUGACAAGAACAGCAUAUAUAGAUUUAACAUUGUCUUCCAGAAAAAUGGUAUGUAAUGUGUGUUAAAAAAUCUUGUGUAGAGGAAAAAAUCUACAUUUUAGAAUCAAUAUUCUCUUUUUAAAAG
This is a long non-coding RNA of Gallus gallus (chicken), 2198 nucleotides long. Lineage: Eukaryota; Metazoa; Chordata; Aves; Galliformes; Phasianidae. The record is from Ensembl.